GCCAGACUCCUACGGGAGGCAGCAGUGGGGGAUAUUGCACAAUGGGGGGAACCCUGAUGCAGCGACGCCGCGUGGGUGAAGGAGCGUUUCGGCGCGUAAAGCCCUAUCGGCAGGGAAGAAGGAGGACGGUACCUGACUAAGAAGCCCCGGCUAACUACGUGCCAGCAGCCGCGGUAAUACGUAGGGGGCAAGCGUUAUCCGGAUUUACUGGGUGUAAAGGGGGCGCAGACGGCAGCGCAAGCCAGGAGUGAAAGCCCGGGGCCCAACCCCGGGACUGCUCUUGGAACUGCGCGGCUGGAGUGCAGGAGGGGCAGGCGGAAUUCCUGGUGUAGCGGUGAAAUGCGUAGAUAUCAGGAGGAACACCGGUGGCGAAGGCGGCCUGCUGGACCGUGACUGACGUUGAGGCUCGAGAGCGUGGGGAGCAAACAGGAUUAGAUACCCGCGUAC
Molecule: ribosomal RNA, 447 nt
Filed under: uncultured bacterium
Lineage: Bacteria
Description: partial 16S ribosomal RNA
Rfam family: Bacterial small subunit ribosomal RNA
Source: RNAcentral